CCUUCUGUUUGACCCCCUUUUCACAUUCGAGCCUCCAUUGGUUUUCUUCUCAUCUGACCAAAUUACUGUAGGCAAGUUUGCAUAAUCUUCUUCUCACUAAUUGCUAUUCCAUACUUCUCUUGAACACGGUUCAUAAUCUUGUAUUUUCUGUAUGUUCACUCAUCCACCACCGCAUCUAAUCCUCUACAUUUAUAUUUGCUUUUGUUUGGCACUUGACUGCCCCACAUUUUCGAUACCAAAUUCUAUUCUCUGUGUAUGGAAGUUUUUAAUGACCUGAAUUGCGAUGCUUAUCAACUACUUGAAUUUUCUAAGGUUCUGUUUGGUUUUUGUUUCUGUUUUCAAUUUUUGUUGUCUCUCUUCUAAUACCUAAAUCUAUGAAUAUAAGUUCCUUCCAUACAUGUGAAUGGCAAUUAACAUUUACUCUUGUUUGCUAUUUUGGACUCAAAUAUCUUCUCAGCCUUAGCUAUCCAAUAGGACCAUUUUCAUCAUAGUUGGGCAAUUCAACUUUCUAAAAAUCCUUCUUAAACUCAUUUGGAACCUUAUCUUCAAGUUUCACCGAGUGAACAUCAAGAUGCCUUUGAUCACACAUUUUACUAUUUCUAACAUUCUUAGAACUUCCUGCAAGGUAGCCUCUUUUUUGCUUACCUAAAUCCUUCAACAAUCAAAGAAUUCCAUCCAUACUGUCAAGUUUCUCAUUUAUCCAAAAUCUCGCAUCUGAUUCUUGUGGUGGAAUUGGAACACUGCAUCUUGGCAUUCAUGUCUUCCAUGUUUCUUUCUCCAAUGAAAAUCGAGAGUGUUUUUUUGAGGCACCCAAUUUAAUCUCCCUCCUUUUGUUUAUUAUUAAUUGUAGAACAUAUUGCCUCCUAAACUGUGACUGCCUAUGCAGCUACUAUUAGAUCAGCCCUGCCUUUAAUUUUGUUUUAUUAUUUUCUAUCAGACCUUCAGAUCAUGAAAUUUAAUAUUCCAUGUAUUGUUAGCUAAGUCAUAGAAUUUUGUACUGGGCCUAACUCAACCUUACAAACCGGCUUGUAAGGUGAGGAUUGCUCCCACUUAUAAACAUAUUUUCAAGUCAUCUCUCAACCAAUGUGGGACUCUUAACACUAAGUAACAUGUACCUGUAAGCUUUUUCUUUCUUGCGGCAUGUACCUGUAACCUAACUUAAUAUUACUCCUUAAUACAUGUGUUUGCUAUUGUUGAAAACAACUGCCUUUAAAUUUAAUUGUUAGUGACUCACAAACAUACCAGUAAUAUAUACUUUUCUUUUUACAGAAAUACCUUCAACAUAAUUGAAUCUUAUUUUGUGACACUAUUGUAAUAUUAUGUUGAACUGGUGAACUAACAGUUUAAUUUUUCUGAUGGAACAGGUGCACGAGCGCUUCAUGAAGAACAUCAGCAAUAUGUGAGCUUCCUUUAAUGAAGCAUGUUCUGUAAUAAACUGUGUGACUAGUUUUAUUGGAAUAUUUAGAUUGUGAUUUUUUAGGGAGACAACUUGUUUCGUAUGGAUUUUGUGAAGUUCGACUAUUUUAUUUCUUUCGCUUCACUGAGAAUAAUUACAAGCAAUGCACAUUCCCAUUUAUUAUCAAGAGAAGUGCUACAUAAUGCAAUGUUUUUCAUACAAAUUGCACAAAAUUUGAGCAAAAUUAUGUACGGGAAAUCUUUGGAAGUGCUAGUGCUACAUAAUCCAUAAUCUGAUGCUCUCUCGGUUUCAAAACCAACGCAUUUUAG
RNAcentral lists this long non-coding RNA (1725 nucleotides) under Trifolium pratense (red clover). Its description in RNAcentral is "long non-coding RNA (TPRA_LNC002387)". The record is from RNAcentral. Lineage: Eukaryota; Viridiplantae; Streptophyta; Magnoliopsida; Fabales; Fabaceae.